GAUGAACGCUAGCUACAGGCUUAACACAUGCAAGUCGAGGGGAAACGAUAUUGGAAGCUUGCUUCCGAUAGGCGUCGACCGGCGCACGGGUGAGUAACGCGUAUCCAACCUGCCCACCACUUGGGGAUAACCUUGCGAAAGUAAGGCUAAUACCCAAUGAUAUCUCAAGAAGACAUCUGAAAGGGAUUAAAGAUUUAUCGGUGAUGGAUGGGGAUGCGUCUGAUUAGCUUGUUGGCGGGGUAACGGCCCACCAAGGCGACGAUCAGUAGGGGGUCUGAGAGGAAGGUCCCCCACAAUGGAACUGAGACACGGUCCAAACUCGUACGGGAGGAAGCAGUGAGGAAUAUUGGUCAAUGGGCGAGAGCCUGAACCAGCCAAGUAGCGUGCAGGAUGACGGCCCUAUGGGUUGUAAACUGCUUUUAUAAGGGAAUAAAGUGAGCCUCGUGAGGCUUUUUGCAUGUACCUUAUGAAUAAGGACCGGCUAAUUCCGUGCCAGCCGCCGCCGUAA
This 508-nucleotide ribosomal RNA is filed under the name uncultured bacterium. Its description in RNAcentral is "partial 16S ribosomal RNA". It matches the Rfam family "Bacterial small subunit ribosomal RNA", at positions 28 to 523 of the family's 1533-position model. The record is from RNAcentral.